GCAAAUUACCCAAUCCAGACAUUGGGAGGUAGUGACGAGAAAUACCAAAGCGUGCCUACGGUUCGCUAUUAUGCCGAAGGUAACAUAGUACCUUCGAUGAGUACCUACUGGAGGGCAAGUCUGGUGCCAGCAGCCGCGGUAAUUCCAGCUCCAGUAGUGUAUAUCAAAAUUGUUGCGGUUAAACGCUCGUAGUUGGAUUACAAGAGUUUGGCGUCGGUCGAGCGGUAGUUCGGCAGGCGUUGGGCUUUUUUAUCGCAAGAACCAUGUGUACACUUGACCGUGUGUAUGUGGCCACUUGCGGAGCGGGCUUUGAAAUAAAGCAUAGUGCUCAAAGCAGGCGUAACGCUCGAAUGUUUAUAGCAUGGAACCGAAUAACCCUGGCCAGUUUUCUGUUUGUUGGGUUCUCUGAACCGGGUCACUGAUUAAGAAGGGGACAUUUUGAGGGGCGUUAGUACUUGGGUGACCGAGAGGUGAAAUUCUUUAGACCCACCAAAAGACUCACUGAUAAGAAAGCAUUCGCCCAAGAAUGUUUUCAUUGAUCAAGAACGAAACUUAGAGGUUCGAAGACGAUCAGAUACCGUCCUAGUUCUAUACAGUAAACUAUGCCACCUCGGGAUCAGUCCGGAGAUGGAAAGAGGUUGGUCAGUCCCCAAGGAAACUGGAAGUUAUCGUGUUCCGGGGGGAAUACGAUCGAAUUCGCGGAACUUAAAGAAAUUGAGUGAAGCGCACCACCAAGGAGUGGAGCCUGGGGCUUUAAAUUUGACUCAACACGGGGCAAACUCACCAAAGUCCAGACAUUUGAAAGGAUUGACAGACUGAUAGAUCUUUUCAAGAUCCAAUGAUUGGUGGUGCAUGGCCGUUCUUAGUUGGUGGAGUGAUCUGUCAGGUCUAUUCCGGUAAUGAGCGAGACCACGAUCUCUAUUUGAUUACGGCACUCUUAGGCAGCGUCGGUCAUGGAGAGACUACCGGAAUACAAGCCGGGGGAAGCGUGGCAAUAACAGGCCUGUGAUGCCCUUCGAUGUUCUGGGCCGCACGCGCGCUACAAUGGCAGUGACAACAAGUUUCUGCACCGAGAGGUGUGGAGAAUCUUGACAAUCGCUGUCGUGAUUGGGAUUGAGCCUUCCUCGUUAGGCUCAUGAAAGAGGAAUUCCUCGUAAGCGCAAGUCACCAACUUGUGUUGAAUACGUCUCUGCCCUUUGUACACACCGCCUGUCGCUACUACCGAUUGAAUGGCUUUUCGAGAAAUCGGGAUUGAUGUUUAUAGCAGCCUGGUCGAACCGAAUAACCCUGGCCAGUUUUCUGUUUGUUGGGUUCUCUGAACCGGGUCACUGAUUAAGAAGGGGACAUUUUGAGGUACCUGGGUACGUUAGUACUUGGGUGACCGAGUAAGGUGAAAUUCUUUAGACCCACGCGUA
Molecule: ribosomal RNA, 1415 nt
Filed under: Auerbachia sp. NKS-2017
Lineage: Eukaryota; Metazoa; Cnidaria; Myxozoa; Bivalvulida; Coccomyxidae
Description: SSU rRNA
Rfam family: Eukaryotic small subunit ribosomal RNA
Source: RNAcentral